AAUCCAUGAUGUGGACAGGUGAUGACAUAAUCUUGCAGCCUCUCCCAUGCGUCGGCAAUACUUUCAUCAGGGUACGGAGUGAAUCCAAAGAUCUUGAGAUG
Small nucleolar RNA from Phragmites australis (common reed), 101 nucleotides. Lineage: Eukaryota; Viridiplantae; Streptophyta; Magnoliopsida; Poales; Poaceae. The record is from RefSeq and is a predicted model, not a curated record.